This 253-nucleotide ribosomal RNA is filed under the name uncultured bacterium. RNAcentral's name for it is "partial 16S ribosomal RNA". It matches the Rfam family "Bacterial small subunit ribosomal RNA", at positions 524 to 776 of the family's 1533-position model. The record is from RNAcentral.
CACGUAGGGCGCGAGCGUUGUCCGGAAUUAUUGGGCGUAAAGAGCUCGUAGGCGGCCUGUUGCGUCCGCUGUGAAAGCCCGGGGCUUAACCCCGGGUCGGCAGUGGAUACGGGCAGGCUAGAGGUAGGUAGGGGAGAGUGGAAUUCCCGGUGUAGCGGUGAAAUGCGCAGAUAUCGGGAAGAACACCCGUGGCGAAGGCGACUCUCUGGAACGCAACUGACGCUGAGACGCGAAGGCGUGGGGAGCAAACAGG